This 2773-nucleotide ribosomal RNA is filed under the name Escherichia coli. RNAcentral describes it as "bacterial LSU rRNA". Lineage: Bacteria; Pseudomonadati; Pseudomonadota; Gammaproteobacteria; Enterobacterales; Enterobacteriaceae. The record is from RNAcentral.
AGCGUACACGGUGGAUGCCCUGGCAGUCAGAGGCGAUGAAGGACGUGCUAAUCUGCGAUAAGCGUCGGUAAGGUGAUAUGAACCGUUAUAACCGGCGAUUUCCGAAUGGGGAAACCCAGUGUGWUUCGWCACACUAUCAUUAACUGAAUCCAUAGGUUAAUGAGGCGAACCGGGGGAACUGAAACAUCUAAGUACCCCGAGGAAAAGAAAUCAACCGAGAUUCCCCCAGUAGCGGCGAGCGAACGGGGAGCAGCCCAGAGCCUGAAUCAGUGUGUGUGUUAGUGGAAGCGUCUGGAAAGGCGCGCGAUACAGGGUGACAGCCCCGUACACAAAAAUGCACAUGCUGUGAGCUCGAUGAGUAGGGCGGGACACGUGGUAUCCUGUCUGAAUAUGGGGGGACCAUCCUCCAAGGCUAAAUACUCCUGACUGACCGAUAGUGAACCAGUACCGUGAGGGAAAGGCGAAAAGAACCCCGGCGAGGGGAGUGAAAAAGAACCUGAAACCGUGUACGUACAAGCAGUGGGAGCAYGCUUAGGCGUGUGACUGCGUACCUUUUGUAUAAUGGGUCAGCGACUUAUAUUCUGUAGCAAGGUUAACCGAAUAGGGGAGCCGAAGGGAAACCGAGUCUUAACUGGGCGUUAAGUUGCAGGGUAUAGACCCGAAACCCGGUGAUCUAGCCAUGGGCAGGUUGAAGGUUGGGUAACACUAACUGGAGGACCGAACCGACUAAUGUUGAAAAAUUAGCGGAUGACUUGUGGCUGGGGGUGAAAGGCCAAUCAAACCGGGAGAUAGCUGGUUCUCCCCGAAAGCUAUUUAGGUAGCGCCUCGUGAAUUCAUCUCCGGGGGUAGAGCACUGUUUCGGCAAGGGGGUCAUCCCGACUUACCAACCCGAUGCAAACUGCGAAUACCGGAGAAUGUUAUCACGGGAGACACACGGCGGGUGCUAACGUCCGUCGUGAAGAGGGAAACAACCCAGACCGCCAGCUAAGGUCCCAAAGUCAUGGUUAAGUGGGAAACGAUGUGGGAAGGCCCAGACAGCCAGGAUGUUGGCUUAGAAGCAGCCAUCAUUUAAAGAAAGCGUAAUAGCUCACUGGUCGAGUCGGCCUGCGCGGAAGAUGUAACGGGGCUAAACCAUGCACCGAAGCUGCGGCAGCGACGCUUAUGCGUUGUUGGGUAGGGGAGCGUUCUGUAAGCCUGUGAAGGUGUGCUGUGAGGCAUGCUGGAGGUAUCAGAAGUGCGAAUGCUGACAUAAGUAACGAUAAAGCGGGUGAAAAGCCCGCUCGCCGGAAGACCAAGGGUUCCUGUCCAACGUUAAUCGGGGCAGGGUGAGUCGACCCCUAAGGCGAGGCCGAAAGGCGUAGUCGAUGGGAAACAGGUUAAUAUUCCUGUACUUGGUGUUACUGCGAAGGGGGGACGGAGAAGGCUAUGUUGACCGGGCGACGGUUGUCCCGGUUUAAGCGUGUAGGCUGGUUUUCCAGGCAAAUCCGGAAAAUCAAGGCUGAGGCGUGAUGACGAGGCACUACGGUGCUGAAGCAACAAAUGCCCUGCUUCCAGGAAAAGCCUCUAAGCAUCAGGUAACAUCAAAUCGUACCCCAAACCGACACAGGUGGUCAGGUAGAGAAUACCAAGGCGCUUGAGAGAACUCGGGUGAAGGAACUAGGCAAAAUGGUGCCGUAACUUCGGGAGAAGGCACGCUGAUAUGUAGGUGAAGCGACUUGCUCGUGGAGCUGAAAUCAGUCGAAGAUACCAGCUGGCUGCAACUGUUUAUUAAAAACACAGCACUGUGCAAACACGAAAGUGGACGUAUACGGUGUGACGCCUGCCCGGUGCCGGAAGGUUAAUUGAUGGGGUCAGCGCAAGCGAAGCUCUUGAUCGAAGCCCCGGUAAACGGCGGCCGUAACUAUAACGGUCCUAAGGUAGCGAAAUUCCUUGUCGGGUAAGUUCCGACCUGCACGAAUGGCGUAAUGAUGGCCAGGCUGUCUCCACCCGAGACUCAGUGAAAUUGAACUCGCUGUGAAGAUGCAGUGUACCCGCGGCAAGACGGAAAGACCCCGUGAACCUUUACUAUAGCUUGACACUGAACAUUGAGCCUUGAUGUGUAGGAUAGGUGGGAGGCUUUGAAGUGUGGACGCCAGUCUGCAUGGAGCCGACCUUGAAAUACCACCCUUUAAUGUUUGAUGUUCUAACGUUGACCCGUAAUCCGGGUUGCGGACAGUGUCUGGUGGGUAGUUUGACUGGGGCGGUCUCCUCCUAAAGAGUAACGGAGGAGCACGAAGGUUGGCUAAUCCUGGUCGGACAUCAGGAGGUUAGUGCAAUGGCAUAAGCCAGCUUGACUGCGAGCGUGACGGCGCGAGCAGGUGCGAAAGCAGGUCAUAGUGAUCCGGUGGUUCUGAAUGGAAGGGCCAUCGCUCAACGGAUAAAAGGUACUCCGGGGAUAACAGGCUGAUACCGCCCAAGAGUUCAUAUCGACGGCGGUGUUUGGCACCUCGAUGUCGGCUCAUCACAUCCUGGGGCUGAAGUAGGUCCCAAGGGUAUGGCUGUUCGCCAUUUAAAGUGGUACGCGAGCUGGGUUUAGAACGUCGUGAGACAGUUCGGUCCCUAUCUGCCGUGGGCGCUGGAGAACUGAGGGGGGCUGCUCCUAGUACGAGAGGACCGGAGUGGACGCAUCACUGGUGUUCGGGUUGUCAUGCCAAUGGCACUGCCCGGUAGCUAAAUGCGGAAGAGAUAAGUGCUGAAAGCAUCUAAGCACGAAACUUGCCCCGAGAUGAGUUCU